Molecule: ribosomal RNA, 253 nt
Filed under: uncultured bacterium
Lineage: Bacteria
Description: partial 16S ribosomal RNA
Rfam family: Bacterial small subunit ribosomal RNA
Source: RNAcentral
UACGUAGGGUGCGAGCGUUGUCCGGAAUUAUUGGGCGUAAAGAGCUUGUAGGCGGUUUGUCGCGUCUGCUGUGAAAUCUCAAGGCUCAACCUUGAGCUUGCAGUGGGUACGGGCAGACUAGAGUGUGGUAGGGGAGACUGGAAUUCCUGGUGUAGCGGUGAAAUGCGCAGAUAUCAGGAGGAACACCGAUGGCGAAGGCAGGUCUCUGGGCCACUACUGACGCUGAGGCGCGAAGGCCAGGGGAGCAAACGGG